ACCAUUUCUUUCCGAUCAUACUCUUUUCAAACCCAUGCUCCGUACUGUCAAGGUUGGCGCUCUCCGAUCACUGCGAGUACUUCGAGGCCCUUACUCCGUCCUCCAUUGGAGCUGCUGCUUCUGCACCUCCUCCUCAAUCCAAUCCAUAUGUCUGUUCAUCCAGCUCUACUUCCCGCUCCUUCCGCGGCAUCGUCCUUCAAGCGUUUUUCGAUUGAUCAGAAAAGAUGGAUUCAAUUUGAAUGAUUGAGAUAUGACGAAUGAAGGCGGCCGAGGCGAUCAAGACGACUGAGGAUCUUGCGAGGAAUGUGUAAUGUUGUAUCAUUCCGAUUCCUUGAUUUUCUGUUUGUUUUUUAACGUACAUUUUAGUGUAUUGUUUUUCCGUCUAUCAAUUACGUUACGAGGAGUAGCAUUGCGCGGAAAUUUUCCAUUUCGCGAAGCUGCGUCACGACAUUGUCUUGAAAAUUUUCUUUCGUUUGUCAAUGUUUCCGGUUAUGGUCCGUUGAUGUAGUAUCAUUAGUGAAACAGUAUACAGUCCGAGUUAGCAGUGUGUUAGAACCACUACUUUCAUAUUUUCGAACUCUGUUUCACGAUUAUUUCCUUUUCCUUUUUGUUUGACCAUUGAACACAGGGCACAGUGUUGCUAAUGACGCCGUGCGAAGAAUUACAGGAGGAGCUGAAGUUCUCACUAACGCUGGUUGCGGGAAAUUCUUCCGGUGGACUUGCGAGAAUGUAUCAGAACAGAAGCUAAUGAUGGCUUCUAAACGUGACCUGUUUGCAUCUGCUGGCCAGCUAUGAGAACACAAGAUCGUCAUAUGCAAAACUUGCAUUGUGUGGUGGCGAUAAGUCUCUCUUGUAUGAAAAUGGCGAGCGUCUUGGGGCUUUUACGAGGGGCAUGGAGUGGAACAAAAUACUAGACGAUGAACUGAGAUAUAAUUUUUCUUUUGGACAAAAUAAGCUCUCAUUGAUACCCAUAAUGUAAAAAAAUGCUAAUCACAGUUUUAGGGUCCCAGGCCAAUGAAGCAUGGUGCAGAGCGGACGACUAUACUGAAGUUGUAGUCGCAUGGCAUACGGGAGUUGGAAGCAUACUGAGAGUACGCCUCUGCAUGGAAAACAAUAUUAGAUGAUUCCCCACUUUCUAUUUUCAAGAUUCAGUGGCUCACCCUCUUCAUGGAGGCGAAUGUAUCAUAUGCGCUGCUGUAAGUUGUUAAAACGCAGGUCAUGCAGAUUGAAAAAGAAACGAAUAGAUUCAUAUUACAUUGAAGACGUAAAGGUGGAUGGAUUGGGAAACGACAGCAGCAUUGCUCCAAUUAGUGACUUCACAAAUUAGCGCAUAAAGGAGAAUCACUUCUUUAGAUGGGAUGGAAUGGAAACAGCUUCUUGCCAUCGUGGAAUUCCUCCAUGGAAGGUCAAGGAAUCCACGAGGGGCUUACAGUAUGGCUUCUCUAUUACGGCAGAGUCGGCGCUGAUUGUUCUCUAUUGCAGCCAACACAU
Long non-coding RNA from Cucurbita pepo subsp. pepo (vegetable marrow), 1491 nucleotides. RefSeq lists it as uncharacterized. The record is from RefSeq and is a predicted model, not a curated record. Lineage: Eukaryota; Viridiplantae; Streptophyta; Magnoliopsida; Cucurbitales; Cucurbitaceae.